Molecule: non-coding RNA, 155 nt
Filed under: Bacillus atrophaeus
Lineage: Bacteria; Bacillati; Bacillota; Bacilli; Caryophanales; Bacillaceae
Description: SAM-I sequence
Rfam family: SAM riboswitch aptamer (S box leader)
About the family: The SAM riboswitch is found upstream of a number of genes which code for proteins involved in methionine or cysteine biosynthesis in Gram-positive bacteria.
Source: RNAcentral
CUCUUAUCGAGAGUUGGGCGAGGGAUUGGCCUUUUGACCCCAACAGCAACCGACCGUAAUGCCAUUGUGAAAUGGGGCGCACAGAUUUUGCGCCGAGACGUUAGUCUCAUUAAGGCACGGUGCUAAUUCCAUCAGAUUUAUCUGAGAGAUAAGAG